AGUGAACGCUGGCGGUAGGCCUAACACAUGCAAGUCGAACGGCAGCACAGUAAGAGCUUGCUCUUACGGGUGGCGAGUGGCGGACGGGUGAGGAAUACAUCGGAAUCUACUUUUUCGUGGGGGAUAACGUAGGGAAACUUACGCUAAUACCGCAUACGACCUACGGGUGAAAGCAGGGGAUCUUCGGACCUUGCGCGAUUGAAUGAGCCGAUGUCGGAUUAGCUAGUUGGCGGGGUAAAGGCCCACCAAGGCGACGAUCCGUAGCUGGUCUGAGAGGAUGAUCAGCCACACGGGAACUGAGACACGGUCCAGACUCCGACGGGAGGCAGCAGUGGGGAAUAUUGGACAAUGGGCGAAAGCCUGAUCCAGCCAUACCGCGUGGGUGAAGAAGGACUUCGGGUUGUAGAGCCCUGUUGUUGGGAAAGAAAAGCAGCAGGUUAAUACCCCGCUGUUCUGACGGUACCCAAAGAAUAAGCACCGGCUAACUUCGUG
This 492-nucleotide ribosomal RNA is filed under the name uncultured bacterium. RNAcentral describes it as "partial 16S ribosomal RNA". It matches the Rfam family "Bacterial small subunit ribosomal RNA", at positions 29 to 507 of the family's 1533-position model. The record is from RNAcentral.